UUCACAGCACUGAAGACAUAAGUCCUUUGUUUAUUUGUAGAAGCGGCCCCACACAGCAUCCAACAGCUCAGGCUUUCUUGCACUGUUCUGCCAAUGUACCUCAAUCCUGAUCUAGACGGACCACCUCUAGGGAUAAGGUAGUUCAAUUCAUAAACUGAGCUUCCCUCUCUACU
Molecule: small RNA, 173 nt
Filed under: Chrysemys picta bellii (western painted turtle)
Lineage: Eukaryota; Metazoa; Chordata; Testudines; Emydidae
Description: TUC338 (ENSCPBG00000023292.1)
Source: RNAcentral